CACCAGCAGCAGAAGCUCCCAAGAUGACCAAUACUGUUUCUUGCUGGGAAGAAGGAUAGAAAAAUAAUACAUGCCAAAAGAAAUUUGAGGAACAAAUUCAGAGCAAGAACCCAGCAGAGUCGAGUUUCAAUGGGAGCAGGAUAGAGAAGAGGUUGAGAAAAAUGCAACAGAAGAGACUGCACGGCUUCUGAGGUUGCAGCUUUUGGGAGAAGCCAUCUACCAUUGAUGACAGACAUGCCGUGUGGAAACCAAACCAGCCAUGUGGAGAGGCUACCUGGACAGAGGCACAGGGCCAGCACCAGCUGUGGAGACAGACAUGUGAGCAAAGAAAUCAUCUUUGAUGUACACCCAAGUUGAGCCUUCAGAUGACUCUGAUUUCAGCCACCUUCGGACUGCAACCACAUGAAAGGCUCUAAAUAGAAGCCUCCCAGCUGAUCCCGGUUAACCCACAGUGCUGAAGGGGAUAAUAAUAAAUUGUUGUUUU
Molecule: long non-coding RNA, 484 nt
Organism: Gorilla gorilla gorilla (western lowland gorilla)
Lineage: Eukaryota; Metazoa; Chordata; Mammalia; Primates; Hominidae
Exons: 4
Source: RefSeq, a predicted model, not a curated record